Molecule: microRNA precursor, 145 nt
Filed under: Gossypium hirsutum (cotton)
Lineage: Eukaryota; Viridiplantae; Streptophyta; Magnoliopsida; Malvales; Malvaceae
Description: MIR7502 microRNA precursor family
Rfam family: MIR7502 microRNA precursor family
Source: Rfam by way of RNAcentral
AAUUACAAUUUUCAUUUAUUUCUACUGUUAAAAAUUAGUGUGACUGACGUAAUAAUCAACCAACUACACCUAGCGUGUCAUGUAUACCUCAUGUCGACAUACAACGAUCAAUUUUUCAUAGCAAAAAUGUAUAAAAUUUUUAAUA